GCAAGAUUUUGGAGGCAGUCAAGGUAAUAAAUAGGACAUCUGUGGUGACUCUAUUCUACAGAGACAUCAUUUAUUUAUGUGAUGCCCAUAGGGCAUUUGUCAUGAUAUUUUGAUUUGAUAUUUAACAAUCCUUGUAAUUAAAGGUUUGUUUUUUUUUGCAAAUUUUGUUAUAUUGGAUGGCCCAAGUUGCCCUGAUUUUGAAGCCAGUGUUUCUUGAACAGCAUUACUAUUCUGCCUCUUUGUGAUUUUUGCCCCUCAAAUUCUCACUCUUGUUUUCUUUGUUUAAAUUUAGGCCAAUUUCAAUGAUAAGUUUG
RNAcentral lists this unclassified non-coding RNA (314 nucleotides) under Hevea brasiliensis (rubber tree). Lineage: Eukaryota; Viridiplantae; Streptophyta; Magnoliopsida; Malpighiales; Euphorbiaceae. The record is from RNAcentral.